GGGGGCAAACCCUGAUCCAGCCAUGCCGCGUGUGUGAAGAAGGCCUUUGUGGUUGUAAAGUCACUUUAAGCAGUGAAGAAGGACUACUUCGGUUAAUACCCGGAGACGUAUGACAUUAGGCUGCAGAAUAAGCACCGGCUAACUCUGUGCCAGCAGCCGCGGUAAUACAGAGGGUGCAAGCGUUAAUCGGAAUUACUGGGCGUAAAGCGAGCGUAGGUGGCUUGAUAAGUCAGAUGUGAAAUCCCCGGGCUUAACCUGGGAACUGCAUCUGAAACUGUUAGGCUAGAGUAGGUGAGAGGGAAGUAGAAUUUCAGGUGUAGCGGUGAAAUGCGUAGAGAUCUGAAGGAAUACCGAUGGCGAAGGCAGCUUCCUGGCAUCAUACUGACACUGAGGCUCGAAAGCGUGGGUAGCAAACAGGAUUAGAUACCCUGGUAGUCCACGCCGUAAACGAUGUCUACUAGUCGUUGGGUCCCUUGAGGACUUAGUGACGCAGCUAACGCACAUAAGUAUGUACCGCCUGGGGAGUAC
RNAcentral lists this ribosomal RNA (528 nucleotides) under uncultured Gammaproteobacteria bacterium. RNAcentral's name for it is "bacterial SSU rRNA". It matches the Rfam family "Bacterial small subunit ribosomal RNA", at positions 373 to 883 of the family's 1533-position model. Lineage: Bacteria; Pseudomonadati; Pseudomonadota; Gammaproteobacteria. The record is from RNAcentral.